RNAcentral lists this ribosomal RNA (330 nucleotides) under uncultured bacterium. RNAcentral's name for it is "SSU rRNA". It matches the Rfam family "Bacterial small subunit ribosomal RNA", at positions 26 to 376 of the family's 1533-position model. The record is from RNAcentral.
AGGAUGAACGCUGGCGGCGUGCUUAAUACAUGCAAGUCGAGCGGUAAGGCCCCUUCGGGGGUACACGAGCGGCGGACGGCUGAGUAACGCGUGGGAACGUACCCCGAAGUGAGGGAUAAGCACCAGAAAUGGUGUCUAAUACCGCAUGUGCUCUAAGGAGUAAAGCUCCGGCGCUUCGGGAACGGCCUGCGUCCGAUUAGCUUGUUGGUGAGGUAAUGGCUUACCAAGGCGACGAUCGGUAGCUGGUCUGAGAGGAUGACCAGCCAGACUGGGACUGAGAACGGCCCAGACUCCUACGGGAGGCAGCAGUAGGAAUUUUCCACAAUGGAC